Molecule: non-coding RNA, 110 nt
Organism: Mycena polygramma
Lineage: Eukaryota; Fungi; Basidiomycota; Agaricomycetes; Agaricales; Mycenaceae
Source: the annotation of a GenBank genome assembly
GGUCCGAUGGUGUAGUUGGUUAUCACUUCUGUCUAACAGCGCAUUACGUAAUCACCUGAUUUCGUAAGCUGGUGCACAGGCGGUCCUCAGUUCGAACCUGGGUCGGAUCA